Molecule: ribosomal RNA, 1408 nt
Filed under: uncultured prokaryote
Description: partial 16S ribosomal RNA
Rfam family: Bacterial small subunit ribosomal RNA
Source: RNAcentral
UCAGAUUGAACGCUGGCGGCAGGCCUAACACAUGCAAGUCGAGCGAGAAAGCACUUCGGGGUGAGUAGGUGAGUAACGCGUAGGAAUUUGCCCAGUAGUGGGGGACAACAUGUGGAAACGCAUGCUAAUACCGCAUACGCCCUAUGGGGGAAAGCAGGGGAUCUUCGGGCAGAUGAGCCUGCGUCAGAUUAGCUAGUUGGUGGGGUAAUGGCCCACAAAGGCAACGAUCUGUAGCUGGUCUGAGAGGAUGACCAGCCACACUGGGACUGAGACACGGCCCAGACUCCUACGGGAGGCAGCAGUGGGGAAUAUUGGACAAUGGGGGCAACCCUGAUCCAGCCAUGCCGCGUGUGUGAAGAAGGCUCUAGGGUUGUAAGCACUUUCAGUAGGGAGGAAAAGUUAGUAGUUAAUAUCUGCUAGCUUGACGUUAGCAACAGAAGAAGCACCGGCUAACUCCGUGCCAGCAGCCGCGGUAAUACGGAGGGUGCGAGCGUUAAUCGGAAUUACUGGGCGUAAAGCGUGCGUAGGCGGUUUGUUAAGCAAGAUGUGAAAGCCCAGGGCUCAACCUUGGAACUGCAUUUUGAACUGGCAAACUAGAGUACUGUAGAGGGUGGUGGAAUUUCCAGUGUAGCGGUGAAAUGCGUAGAGAUUGGAAGGAACAUCAGUGGCGAAGGCGGCCACCUGGACAGAUACUGACGCUGAGGCACGAAAGCGUGGGGAGCAAACAGGAUUAGAUACCCUGGUAGUCCACGCCGUAAACGAUGUCAACUAGCUGUCUGUGGACUUGAUCCGUGGGUAGCGGAGCUAACGCAUUAAGUUGACCGCCUGGGGAGUACGGCCGCAAGGUUAAAACUCAAAUGAAUUGACGGGGGCCCGCACAAGCGGUGGAGCAUGUGGUUUAAUUCGAUGCAACGCGAAGAACCUUACCAUCCCUUGACAUCCAGAGAAGAGACUAGAGAUAGACUUGUGCCUUCGGGAACUCGUGACAGGUGCUGCAUGGCUGUCGUCAGCUCGUGUUGUGAAAUGUUGGGUUAAGUCCCGCAACGAGCGCAACCCCUAUCCUUAUUUGCCAGCGCGUAGUGGCAACUCUAAGGAGACUGCCCGUGAUAAGCGGGAGGAAGGUGUGGAUGACGUCAAGUCCUCAUGGCCCUUACGGGUUGGGCUACACACGUGCUACAAUGGCAGUGACAAUGGGUUAAUCCCAAAAAAACUGUCUCAGUUCGGAGGGGUCUGCAACUCGACCCCAUGAAGUCGGAAUCGCUAGUAAUCGCGUAACAGCAUGACGCGGUGAAUACGUUCCCGGGCCUUGUACACACCGCCCGUCACACCAUGGGAGUUGGGUCUACCCGAAGGCCGUGCGCUAACCCUUCGGGGGCAGGCGGCCACGGUAGGAUCAGCGACUGGGGUG